Papaver somniferum (opium poppy) is the source of this 798-nucleotide long non-coding RNA. RefSeq lists it as uncharacterized. The transcript is spliced from 3 exons. The record is from RefSeq and is a predicted model, not a curated record. Lineage: Eukaryota; Viridiplantae; Streptophyta; Magnoliopsida; Ranunculales; Papaveraceae.
ACCCUAAUCCGUUACAUUCUUAUUUUUAAUGUGGGUCAUUAUUUCCUCAAUGAAGCUGAAGAAAAACGCUCCGAGAGGUCUAAAUGUUAUUGGCAAUCGAUAGAAUUGAAGCUCAUAAAAUCACACUUCUUUGCUGUCAUGGAAUCUUAUACUCCCACAAUCGAUAAGAAAUUUGUUUAAGAGGUCGAUCAAUCCCAGGGGAUAUGCGGUAUUUUCCUAAGUAUUUACUAGGUUUUCCUUUUGAUGAACAGAGGGAUUCUCAUAUUUACUAAAGAAGCCGCAUCUUCAAACUUCAGGCAGUGGGUCCUGGAUAUAGUUUGCACAACCUCUGCUACUAAAACACUCAGGGAGUGGAUGGCACUAUCUUGGUUGGAAUGUCUGCAGUACUGAAGUAGCGGAAGAGGAUUGUUAUCUUUGGUGCAUCAAGUGUAGAGCUAAAGUCUCCAUCGCAGUACUCAGGUAACACAUGAUGUAUCACAACAAUAAUUUGCACAACUCCGCUACUACCAAGGAUUUGUUAGUAGAAAACAUGCAAGGAUUAGAGCAGCUUCAAAUAAGAACUUUGUGAAACAAUGAAUUCUUGGUUGGUAACGAUGUUCCAGAAAUAAUCAAAGAAUCCUUAUAACCGUUGAACACAAACAAUAGGCAAAAAAAAAAAAAACUCUGGAUUAUCCAGGUAUGUAAACAUGAACCAUAAUUCGAGUUUGAGGGAAAGUAUUGGGUAUAGUUUGUAUGAAAUGUCUUUACCAUGUUUCAUUUGCUCUAUCUCUUAUUAGAAUGUAUAUGAGUUCCUAUGCA